UGGGGAAUAUUGGACAAUGGGCGCAAGCCUGAUCCAGCAAUGCCGCGUGAGUGAUGAAGGCCUUAGGGUUGUAAAGCUCUUUCGCACGCGACGAUGAUGACGGUAGCGUGAGAAGAAGCCCCGGCUAACUUCGUGCCAGCAGCCGCGGUAAUACGAAGGGGGCUAGCGUUGUUCGGAAUUACUGGGCGUAAAGGGCGCGUAGGCGGCCUGUUUAGUCAGAAGUGAAAGCCCCGGGCUCAACCUGGGAAUAGCUUUUGAUACUGGCAGGCUUGAGUUCCGGAGAGGAUGGUGGAAUUCCCAGUGUAGAGGUGAAAUUCGUAGAUAUUGGGAAGAACACCGGUGGCGAAGGCGGCCAUCUGGACGGACACUGACGCUGAGGCGCGAAAGCGUGGGGAGCAAACAGAUUAGAUACCCUGGUAGUCCACGCCGUAAACGAUGAAUGCUAGACGUCGGGGUGCAUNCACUUCGGUGUCGCCGCUAACGCAUUAAGCAUUCCGCCUGGGGAGUACGGCCGCAAGGUUAAAACUCAAAGGAAUUGACGGGGUCAUAGCUGUUUCC
RNAcentral lists this ribosomal RNA (558 nucleotides) under uncultured bacterium. Its description in RNAcentral is "partial 16S ribosomal RNA". It matches the Rfam family "Bacterial small subunit ribosomal RNA", at positions 355 to 937 of the family's 1533-position model. The record is from RNAcentral.